UUCACCGCUACUUGGGGCCCCAGACACCCCCCUCCAAACCCGCUCGCCGCCCACGUGUGCCCAGAGCAGCUGUUCCUCCACCGGAGACCUCGCCAUUGGGAAGCUCGGAUCGGGCCUGUUCUGAUUCGAGCGGGGUGACCUUGUGUCAGACCCCUCCCCUCUCCGGACCUCUUUCUCCGUGGACACCCAGCGCAGCUCGUUACACAACCCCCCAGGCCCGGUUCCCGCAACUGAAAAGUCUAAAGAAUAAUGAAGGUCAGGAGCCUCAGGUAAGCUGACCCCAGGAUCACCUGGAGAUGGAUGUGGCCAGAGCCUAAGGCUGAAGCAGUGACCUGGCUCCGGGCCUGUCCUUACCUGCUCCCUGAGAGACAGCUUCCACACCCUUUGGCAGGCAUGAAUCAUUUCAGAAAUCACCUCCUGACAAAUCAACAUACAAUAAGUGCUGGCAAGGAUGCAGAGAAAAAGGAACCCUCGUUCACUGCUGGUGGGAAUGCAGACUGGUGCAGCCACUGUGGAGAAAGGUAUG
Myotis myotis is the source of this 526-nucleotide long non-coding RNA. RefSeq lists it as uncharacterized. Lineage: Eukaryota; Metazoa; Chordata; Mammalia; Chiroptera; Vespertilionidae. The record is from RefSeq and is a predicted model, not a curated record. The transcript has 4 exons.